Molecule: transfer RNA, 66 nt
Filed under: Marmota monax (woodchuck)
Lineage: Eukaryota; Metazoa; Chordata; Mammalia; Rodentia; Sciuridae
Description: tRNA.Ala
Rfam family: tRNA
About the family: Transfer RNA (tRNA) molecules are approximately 80 nucleotides in length.
Source: RNAcentral
GGUAUAGUUCAAUGGUAGAGCACAUGCUUAGCAUGCAAGAGGCCCUGGGUUCCAUCCCUAGCACCA